GACGAACUCUGGCGGCGUGCUUAACACAUGCAAGUCGAACGGUAAGGCUCCAGCUUGCUGGGGUACACGAGUGGCGAACGGGUGAGUAACACGUGGGUGACAUGCCCUGCACUUCGGGAUAAGCCUGGGAAACUGGGUCUAAUGCCGGAUAGGACCGCACCGUGAGGGUGUGGUGGAAAGUUUUUUCGGUGUGGGAUGGGCCCGCGGCCUAUCAGCUUGUUGGUGGGGUAAUGGCCUACCAAGGCGGCGACGGGUAGCCGGCCUGAGAGGGUGGACGGCCACAUUGGGACUGAGACACGGCCCAGACUCCUACGGGAGGCAGCAGUGGGGAAUAUUGCACAAUGGGCGGAAGCCUGAUGCAGCGACGCCGCGUGGGGGAUGACGGCCUUCGGGUUGUAAACUCCUUUCACCAUCGACGAAGGGUUUCUGACGGUAGAUGGAGAAGAAGCACCGGCUAACUACGUGCCAGCAGCCGCGGUAAUACGUAGGGUGCGAGCGUUGUCCGGAAUUACUGGGCGUAAAGAGCUCGUAGGUGGUUUGUCGCGUCGUCUGUGAAAUUCCGGGGCUUAACUCCGGGCGUGCAGGCGAUACGGGCAUAACUUGAGUACUGUAGGGGAGACUGGAAUUCCUGGUGUAGCGGUGAAAUGCGCAGAUAUCAGGAGGAACACCGGUGGCGAAGGCGGGUCUCUGGGCAGUAACUGACGCUGAGGAGCGAAAGCAUGGGGAGCGAACAGGAUUAGAUACCCUGGUAGUCCAUGCCGUAAACGGUGGGCGCUAGGUGUGGGUUUCCUUCCACGGGAUCCGUGCCGUAGCUAACGCAUUAAGCGCCCCGCCUGGGGAGUACGGCCGCAAGGCUAAAACUCAAAGGAAUUGACGGGGGCCCGCACAAGCGGCGGAGCAUGUGGAUUAAUUCGAUGCAACGCGAAGAACCUUACCUGGGCUUGACAUAUACAGGAUCGCGCCAGAGAUGGUGUUUCCCUUGUGGCUUGUAUACAGGUGGUGCAUGGUUGUCGUCAGCUCGUGUCGUGAGAUGUUGGGUUAAGUCCCGCAACGAGCGCAACCCUUGUCUUAUGUUGCCAGCACGUUGUGGUGGGGACUCGUAAGAAACUGCCGGGGUUAACUCGGAGGAAGGUGGGGAUGACGUCAAAUCAUCAUGCCCCUUAUGUCCAGGGCUUCACACAUGCUACAAUGGUCGGUACAGUGGGUUGCCAGUCCGUGAGGGCGAGCUAAUCCCGCAAAGCCGGUCUCAGUUCGGAUCGGGGUCUGCAACUCGACCCCGUGAAGUCGGAGUCGCUAGUAAUCGCAGAUCAGCAACGCUGCGGUGAAUACGUUCCCGGGCCU
This 1341-nucleotide ribosomal RNA is filed under the name uncultured bacterium. RNAcentral describes it as "partial 16S ribosomal RNA". It matches the Rfam family "Bacterial small subunit ribosomal RNA", at positions 28 to 1381 of the family's 1533-position model. The record is from RNAcentral.